This 301-nucleotide ribosomal RNA is filed under the name uncultured bacterium. Its description in RNAcentral is "partial 16S ribosomal RNA". It matches the Rfam family "Bacterial small subunit ribosomal RNA", at positions 509 to 807 of the family's 1533-position model. The record is from RNAcentral.
CAGUAGCCACGGUAAAACGUAGGUGGCAAGCGUUGUCCGGAAUUAUUGGGCGUAAAGGGCUCGCAGGCGGUUUCUUAAGUCUGAUGUGAAAGCACCCGGCUCAACCGGGGAGGGUCAUUGGAAACUGGGAAACUUGAGUGCAGAAGAGGAGAGUGGAAUUCCACGUGUAGCGGUGAAAUGCGUAGAGAUGUGGAGGAACACCAGUGGCGAAGGCGACUCUCUGGUCUGUAACUGACGCUGAGGAGCGAAAGCGUGGGGAGCGAACAGGAUUAGAUACCCCUGUAGUCCCUGUCUCUUAUAC